RNAcentral lists this ribosomal RNA (441 nucleotides) under Pentaceros japonicus (Japanese armorhead). Its description in RNAcentral is "partial 12S rRNA". It matches the Rfam family "Bacterial small subunit ribosomal RNA", at positions 7 to 792 of the family's 1533-position model. The record is from RNAcentral. Lineage: Eukaryota; Metazoa; Chordata; Actinopteri; Acropomatiformes; Pentacerotidae.
CAAAAGCUUGGUCCUGACUUUACUAUCAACUUUAGCUAAACUUACACAUGCAAGUAUCCGCACCCCUGUGAGAAUGCCCCACAGUCCCCUGCCCGGGAACAAGGAGCUGGUAUCAGGCACAAUUACACCCAGCCCAUGACACCUUGCUUAGCCACACCCUCAAGGGAACUCAGCAGUGAUAGACAUUAAGCUAUAAGUGAAAACUUGACUUAGUCAAAGCUAAGAGGGUCGGUAAAACUCGUGCCAGCCACCGCGGUUAUACGAGAGACCCAAGUUGAUAGACGCCGGCGUAAAGAGUGGUUAAGAUAGACUGAAACUAAAGCCGAACACCCUCAGAGCUGUCAUACGCACCCGAAGGUAAGAAGUCCAAUCACGAAAGUGGCUUUAUGUCGCCUGAACCCACGAAAGCUAUGAUACAAACUAGGAUUAGAUACCCUAUUA